AUAAAUACUUCUCAGCAAUCGCGGAAAAACCGGACACGAGGGAAUCCCGAGUGCUCAUCUAAGGUAGGGGCUUUUCUUAUGUGAAAUAGCAUGAGGAAUAAGGGCUGGGUAAGACCGGUGCCAGCCGCCGCGGUAAUACCGGCAGCUCUAGUGGUAGCCACUUUUAUUGGGCCUAAAGCGUCGGUAGCGGGUCAGGAAAAUCCUUGGGUAAAUCGUACAGCUUAACUGUGCGGCUCCGGGGGAGACCGCUGGAUUUGGGACGGGGGGAGGUGGGAGGUACUCCUGGGGAGGGGGUGAAAUCCUGAAAUCUUAGGUGGACCACGGUUGCGAAAGGGGUCCAACCGAAACGGCUCCAACGGGGAGGGAGGAAGGCUAGGGGCGCAAACCGGAUUAGAAACCCGGGUGGUCCUAGCUGUAACCGCUGCGGACUUGGUGUGGGAGAUCCUACGAGGGUGUCCAGUGCCGGAGAGAAGUUGUUAAGUUUGCCGCCGGGAAAAUAUGGCCCCAAGGUUGAAAACUAAAAGGAAUUGCCGGGGAAAAGGGCAAUUUCCCGGGCCGCUAAAUUAAUUUCGCCCUAUAGGGGGGGCGGAUUAAAAAUUCACGGGCCGGGGUUUUAACAA
This 620-nucleotide ribosomal RNA is filed under the name uncultured methanogenic archaeon. RNAcentral describes it as "bacterial SSU rRNA". It matches the Rfam family "Archaeal small subunit ribosomal RNA", at positions 341 to 1478 of the family's 1478-position model. Lineage: Archaea; Methanobacteriati; Methanobacteriota. The record is from RNAcentral.